Molecule: long non-coding RNA, 155 nt
Organism: Ochotona curzoniae (black-lipped pika)
Lineage: Eukaryota; Metazoa; Chordata; Mammalia; Lagomorpha; Ochotonidae
Exons: 3
Source: RefSeq, a predicted model, not a curated record
GAGAAAUCUUCAAUACCUUAGCAAGGAGUAAUGAUCUUUGUGUUCUACCUAGAAAGGUAUAUGGGAGUCUAAGCUGAAUUUUUCUUGUCUGUUCUAAGCUUUCCUUAUUGGUCUCUGUCUAUCUGAUCCAAUUUUGGGGAAGUGGGGCUCACAGA